GUGAAACAGUGAACUACCAAAUGUGAUGUGUCUUUUCAAGUUUAACUUUCGCCAUUUCUGGUGCAAUGGAAGAAUAAGAAGAACACUUACCUACACAGAAAAAAAGUAGCACUGCGUUGGUACCGAGGAAAGCAGAAUGGAUCAAUUGCAAUGGUGGAUGGCUUGUAACCAUGUGUCGCACCGAAAACUAAGUGAUAGGGUUUGACGGACAUUUUAUCCGACAGUAACACUCUGUCAAUGCAAUGGAAAACGCUUUCAACGUGAUUUUUGUAUUGAAUUCCUAAUCAAUGGAGUGAUAUGAUAAAUUAUCAGCCGCUUACGAAAUCCGGCUGCCAUUUUGGGUAAAAUUUCUUUAACAUGCGCAGUUUUUCUAUAUGGAACCCAAAAAUCUCCUGGUAUCACAUUCAGAUGUCGCCAUUUUGUAAAGAAGGAAACUGGUAGAAAGGAGAUUGAAAUCAUCACGAAAAGAAAAAGAUGGACGAUUUAAUUGUGUGAAAUUCAACCAGCGUUACGGAUCCAAUCACCAUAAACUGAGUAUUUCUACAGGCGAGGAGGAAAAAAUCCGCAGAUGUCGCUAUUUGGUAGAGAGUACAUCGACCAAUUGGGUUAGACGGCAAGGUGAAAUCAUCGCAAAAAGAAAAAGAUAGACGAUUUAAUUGCGUGAAAUUCAACCAGCGUUACGGAAUCAAUCACCAGUGACGUUUCAUGAACUGAGUAUUCCUAUCGGUGAGGAGAAAAAGUCCCUUAACUAUUAAGAUGGAUGAACGGAUAAGUAUGAAUUUCACAAUUUAGAAACCAAAAACUCACUCGGCAUCGAACGUUCAACGGUAGAAUUAGUAAAUUAAGCUUCUGUUACCUAUUUUUAUUUUAAGUUUAACAUAGGUGAGAUUCAGAAGUUUCGGUUGUUGAACAUAACGAAUUUCGUACAGCGAUGAGUGGUAGAGCAAACAAUUGAAAAUAUUGGAACGUUACAAAAACUCAAACUUUUCGAAUAUGAUCGUCGAUAGCAAGUUAUUUGGCAAAGUUGAUGCAAUACACGUGAACGUAGUUUUGUCCAAAUCAAGGUACCCGAAAACGACGGCAUAAAAACGGAUGUUUUUUAGAAGGUUUGUUUCAAUAGGCAUUACUCUACUGUCUGAUAGUUGGUUUGACAGUGUAAAGUGACGCCACUAUUCAACAACGCUUCCCAAUCUUGGAAAUAUAUUCAAAAUCAGGGUUCAAUUAAAACGGUUUGUAGAGCACUGAAUUUUAUUUCAUUUAUUCUUUUGGAUGCCAAGCCAUCGAGAAGAAUGACAAGAAAAUAUUGCGGUCGAUCGAAUAUUUAUCUAUUCGUCGUCGUGCGCGAGAAGUUGGACGUUGUCCAUCGACUUUAUUGCCGCUAAGAUUUAGGUUUGUUGGGAAUUCAAUGCUAUUUUCGAUACUUAAAAUACUAAGAUACUUAAAAAGUCGUCAUCAUAUGACCAAAGGUCGCAUGAGUGCAUGCAGAUAACAAAUACCAUCACUGUAAGUUCUUUUUAAGUUCUAUUUCUAUUAUUUUUGCUGAACUUCCGCCACUGGAAUUUCUCUAUAUAUUUCUAUUUACAAUUCGUAUACCGAACAGCAAUGAAUUUGCCAAUCUCUUAAAAAAAUAGUGUAUUGCGGCAAUGCGUUGCCCGAGCGGCGUUUUUCGAAGCAAUUUAUAACACACAAAUUCCCUUUUUUUCCCUUUAUUUCCUUCUAAUAAAUUUUUUUUUCACUUUACUGCUUUAACUUGCCUACAGCACAUAAUUUUGUGCCUGACCUAACCUCUGCGGUAAUCACUUCUAACUAUUCUUUUCUUAACUACUGUUUUGGCCUGAGUAAUGGUAUCCAAGUUUGAUUACGGUGUUACCCGGUCGCACAAGGAGCAUUACUCUACAGUAAGGUUAAAGAAAAAAGCCUUGUCUAAACCAAAAACCGACCCUUUUAUACUCCAACCUAUAUAACUAACAAAAACCUAUACUUAUAUAUAUCUGGUAGACUAACUACCACCUAUAACUACCUACGUGAAUUCACUGCGAUCGCGUCGCUUAUGUACAUAAUCAAUUAAUUCGGUCGGUUUCUUCUGGCUGUUGCAAUAUGUUGAAAUAGCCAGCCGUGGGCAUUGCAAUAACUCUACUGGUCUACUGUCUGUACUAGCUAAGAUAAAGAUUUUUAUGGAAAAAUUAGGGCUGCUGCAGUAUACCCUGUAUUUGGAGGGGAGUUUCUUUUUGGUUGGAAAUAUAAGACUGAUUUUGCCGUUUACACAAACUUUUUAUUCAUUGGCACUCUUUCAAUCUUCGACUUGUUACUCUCUUUUCGUAAUUGUAGGAUUUUUCUUGUAUGGAGGAUGCCUUCGCUAUACUGGCUUCUACAGUGGGCUUAACUGCCCGGUUGUGGAUCCCCCCUUCUCUUUCAAUCACUCUCUGAAAACUGACUGACGGACUACUAUCCGAACAUUAUCUGACUGACUCCUAACAAUUAAACAUUUUUCGGGUUAAAACCCGAAGGUUUCAGUACAAGCUGAACUUGCGAUUUUAAGUCGAAGGUUCAUCCGACCUUCUACCGAAGAGCAGAGACCUCUGUCAAUAUGCCAAUGGCAGUUACUAGGGUCCGUGAAAAAAUAACUGCGCUGACUAAUGCCCGUAAAUGUCCAUGUUUUUAUAACAAAGUUUCUACACCAAGGUUGCGGUAACGCUGAUAUGAGGGUUUGCUUAACGAGUUUUUUUUCACAACUUCCUACUUUUUCUACAAUACUAGCAAAUUCAAAUGAAAAUUUGCUGAAGGCGCUGCACUAGGUCGCUUUUAAAAUAUUUGCGUAACCGCGAAUAGCAAAUGAUACUUUGUUUUAUUGCAAAGUUUCAAAGAAUAAUCACACUUCAUUUGUUCACCUUAAUUUUGAAUUUAAUUAUCUAAAUUUUGGAAUUGAAGUAACUAGCUUGUGUUACCUGGAUAUUCGCAAGACCUGACUACGUAGCCCUAAGCUCUGUCGUAACAGCGGUUAUCCUGUGAGUGUGAUUGAAAUUAGUUUUGAUUUUGGUUUGAACGAUAAAGAAUUGAAGUGACUACGAUUUUGGAUAUGGUUUAAAAAUCCGUAAUUUGCUGCAACCACUGAAAUUUCGAAGAAAUUCUAUAGUUUAUCCUAGUUUACAUCAGAUUGUGUCGAGCGUGAUAUUAUCACUACGGAAUAUUAUUUUUGUUCUUUGCUGUAUCAAGCAUAUGUCACCAACUAACUCGGUCCAUGGAUGCUUGUUACCACUGCGCCUUUUACUUCACUAAAGAACAUAAACUCUGUGUGUGGGGCUCUUUCUUUUUAAAAAAUAAAGUUUAACCUUUGAGCUGCUACUACAAUUUAUUAUUAACAAUUUUUCCUUAUAAACUAUAAGUUAGAAAAGACUUACGUAUAAUAUUAGUUUUUGUUUUAUUCCUCGCUUGCGCAUAGCCUGAAUUUCGUGUUUCUUACCAUCCUUGACUUGUGCGCAUGCGUGGUUAUACUAUAAGGAAGAGAGAGAACACAGGCGUUACAAACGAUCCCUUAUUUCCUUCUUUUCCUUACGUUGCCCAGCUUGCGAUCCCAACUAUGACAAGUUAAAUCCAGCUGUUUCUCCUCCCUUCAAGGAGGUCAUUCACUUGUCUCGAGGCAUUUGUUUUAUGCUAUUCCUUCCUUCUUCGAGGAGGUCAUAGCCCUGCCCGAGAUAAGUGCUUACAUUAUUUUAUUUUAGCUCUUUAAACGACGACAUCGGUCGUUGCUCCUAUUUUCUAACGGAUUUUAUGAUUCGAUGCCGUAACCCGGGAGCUCGACGAUGCGGGAGAUUUCAUUUCUCGCUAGCUUAAAUCUAGAAUCCUAGUAUGGGACUUAAAUCUAGGCACGCUGGUGAAACUGUCAGCCACACUGUGCCUGACCUAAAAUCUAUCCGAUAACAUGUUAAUCACUCUUAAAACUUUGCUUUGAGUGUUAAUCUCUACUUUAUCACGAAUGCUGCUGUCCAAGUUUGAUUACGGUGUUACCCGGUCGCCGAAAGUAGGUGUCGGAUCCGAUAAUUCGGUAUCCUCUGCUGAACGCGCGCAUCCCAGGGACCUUCGUGGCCUCAGAGAUAAACGUUUAAUAGGUAUCAGUGAUUUUAUGUCAAUAUACUCCGCAGCCGAGAUAUCAUGCUGUUCACUCUUAACGAAAAUUAAUCUUUCCCAUAGGAGGAUUGUACAGUAGUACGUCCACAUUGCUAGGGAUACGGAUCGGGACCAGUAACGGUCAUUAGCCAUUAGAUCACGAUAUGUGGCUUCGACUAUGUCAUAAUAGUUGAAAUUCCGGGAUUCUCUUUCGAAAUCCCAGUGCUGCAAGAUCGAGAACAGAAAAGGCCUCAAUGUCGCAGGGGUCGUUCUUUGGGGUGGUGAAAGUUGUAGAUAGAUGUUUGGGAGCUAGAUCGGGCUCGUCAGGUAAAUCGACUUUUCUGGCCAUACCUCCUAUUUUCUGCCGAGGUGGCUCAUCUGCAGUGAUUUCUCCUUUCCGAGGUUUAAACUUGCUCUUCGGCGGUUUGUAGCGUUUGUUGGGAUUGGAAGGUGCCUGUGCACCAGGUGUUUUAUUAUCAGAUUCCAUAAUUAAUAAAACUUGUGUCAGCUUCCAGCUUAUCUCCCUAUUUGAAGUUUAAAUUGCAUGAGGUGCAAUUGCCUUGAACAGAUCCAUAUCUGCCUCCCUGUUUUGUGCAAUGAAUUGUUUGAUAGUUCUCUGAACUAUCAUCUUCCUCUCCUCCGUCUUUGUCAUAGUCUGCGAAGCAGUUAUCACACACAGUGCAGCAAUAUCAGCCCUGGAGCCAACUAGAAAUUGGCCACCAUUCUGUGCGCUCUUGUUGAUCGCAUCCAGUAAUUUGCAUUUGGUGCCAAAGACUUUUUUGAUGUACUCAUUUGACAUCAUUUCAUCAUCCUUACUACGUGCAAAUAUUGCACCAGAUAGUGGUGUUAAAAUGUCACUACCUUUGGCACAUGCAAUAGUUGUAAAUUUAUUCAACAAAAAUAAUGAAAUGAUUGUAGCCUGCUUAAUGGUUAGGCACAACACUCCAUUUCUUGAUGUUUCUGGAGCCUUUGAGGGUGGAGCAUGUGAUUUUUGAGUUGCCACUACUAUCACUCCUAUCGUCUCAAUUGCCCCCUUCUCUGCUGGGUCUGCUGGUGCCACAGCAACAUCAUCGUCAACAUCGUAUUUAAGUCCAUGUGAAUUUUUGAUGAGAGCAUUCUUUUUUAUGUCUUCAUCCUUUGUUGCAGGGGUUGUUGGACGAGCAAUGCCAACAAAGUCAAAGGCUUGCAAUGCAGCCACCACAUCAUCAGUAAUGCUUUCAGACACUCUUAUGCGCCAGCUGCCAUCAGCAUCUCUACCCUUCUUGAUUUUCCUGGUUUCAGGGCCAAUGAAAUAGAUGAUGUGCUGCAUGACAUCAAGGCACUUGUAACCAUGCUCCCAGCUGAAAUCAAGAAGCAUGUCAGGCAUGACCCUAACAACCUGCCCAAUCAACUCUGCAACAUCCAGUUGAGCACCACCAAUAGCUGAGUUAACAUCAUUCAUUGUGACUCUCAGAGCCACAAUAUCUGACUUAACCGCAGCCUUUCAUAGCUCUUGGAUGUUCUUUGUCUGAGCAUCCAGCAACGACUCAUACUCCAGCCUGGGCCGUUAUUAGUUAUCUUAUAUGCUUGUGGAUAUAUUACCCCGCAUGCACAGUAUUCGUAACGGAUCUGGUGCUUGCAAUUUCCAGUAGCACGCAACAUAACUGCCUGUUGGUUGCUAUCUAGAGUAACGUAUUAAAACACACUGUUUCGAAUUGAUAACAAGAAUUCUGCUUGAUUUCGAUAUGUCUUAACUUAUAUAACUUCUCUCUCUUAGAUUUAUUCUGGUAGGGGAAGUUAGACUUUGCGUUUCAAUUUCGGUUUAUACCUUUAUGUUUAUAGGAAAUGUAUGUCGUUUGAAAAUAUCUGGUUCUUUCUAAAGUCUUUUGGGAAAUGUACGGUUCUUUCUUGAGUCUUUGAAAAGUGUCUUUGGGAAUGAAUUCUUGAAGCGUUUCUUGGGAAAGUAUGUAUAGAUGAAAGUUUAAGAUGUUCAUAUCACAUCAGUUUUGAACCAAGAAUAACCCCAACGUUUUUAGCUUGAUCAUCCACAACAACCUCUGGAUCAAUUCUUGGUUGAAAAUAAUUCCGCCGGAUGACACGAAUUGAAAACCGAUGUUUUUGACACGUGAUAUUAUCACUACGGAGUGUUAUACUUCCGCUGUCACCAUUUGCAAAAUGCCGCGCGGCGAAAAGUUACGGCCAGUAUAUAAUUCGUACACUCAAGCAAAUGCUCAAAGACACUAUUGAUCGAUCAGUUUCUAUUAGAUCGUCCCAGUGACUGUCGUAAUAAUUUUCUAUUGAGAAAAGGCACUGUGAUAAAUAACAACCAUCUAGAUUGAAAGUCAGUAACGAACUAGCUUGUUUGUUUGCAUAUAGUGGUAGCUACUUACAAAGCAAUAUCGAGCAUGCAAAACUAUUAAAGCUGGCAUCAUACGCCCAAAGCUCGAUGGAGUAUCCAUCGAAAAAGAUGGAAUUGUUGUGUUCAUUGUACUGAAAAGAAACCUAACUCCAUUUGUAGCCUUGGCUAGUUCAUAAUUCUUGUCUCUUCAGUAUGUCCGUCUUUCCGACCUCUUGACAUGCCACUUGUCACUUUACUCUUCCCAUUUGUGCGUGCGAGAGAAUCUGCCCGUUGCACAACGGAUCGAUCAUGUUUGCGGACGCCGACGAUUCUUGCGUUUAAGGACCUUUGGUAUCCCAUCCUGUAAAAUGUACAAAGUGGUGAAGAGAUGUAUUAACGGAAGCUGAAUACGGAGACGUCAAUUUCUUGCUUUUUCUUGAGUACUCUUCUGAUAUCAUCACUGACUUGCCUCACCUAUAUCCAUAGAAUCAACUCUGGAUAAGGGACUUGACAGAUUCGGACUCUUGAAAAAUCAGACUCGGGAAACCGCAUGAGAAACAUAUCAAGGGCAGCUACUAUUCUUCUGUAGUCUUUAAUACCUUGAUACCUUAGGGUAUCAAAUUUAUAAACGUCUGGCUCGCCUCCCAACAACACAGGCUCUGAUCCAACCUCUUGAAGUGUCAAGAGGGACCGAGGUGUUAUCACAUCUCCUUUAGCUCCGAUCUGUCGGUUAAAGGACAUAGUAGAAUAACUCCCACGCGUAAACUCGUGUUGAUUUUUACGUGACUAGAGUAUUUAAUUAUAAUUAUAUCCUAGCUUGAGUCAAAUGACCGUGAGUGACCGUGAUAUUAUCACUACGGAAUAUUAUUUUUAAUGUAUAUCAGAGAAGUUUCUCUGCAAGUCGUCAUCAUAUGACCCGGUCGCCCAAGGAGCAUUACUCUACAGUAAAAUUAAGGAAAAAGCCUUGUCCAAACCAACUCGCACCAGCUAACGUCUGCACUUGAGGUACCCGUUACAAAUGUUUGACGAAACAUGUUCACUAUUCGAAGGGCUCAAACUAAAUGAAAUUAAGUUAAUCAAAAGAAUGAAAGCAAAAGACCAGGAGUGGAUAUCGCAAAAGUAAGCAAAAACCGAAUAUACUAUUCGGUAUAUACUACUAGAUCAUAACGCCGACGAAGCAUGAGCGGGCCAUAAACGGCCGACGUGAAACUGUAAUUUAAGAAUCUUCCUGGAAAUCAUAGCAGGCAAACUCGGCGAUCGCUUGACGGACAUAUGCAAUAAAAUAAUCUAUAGCGGGCAAUUGUCUCGAAAAGGCAGGUAAAAUGACACCCCGAUUAUAACGAACAUCUAUAGAAUAGUUAAAUGAACAAACCACGCGCCGACCAAACUGGGUCAAUGGCAGCGGUGCGGGCCAACACGAAUUGUAGCAUACACUGGCGCCAAUCGCAAAUAACAAAUCACCGCUGUCACCACAAUGCGUUGCCCGAGCGGCGAGAGGGGUAUUUCUUUCAAUGCACUUAUAGACCGCACUUUAAAUUCUAUCUUUCCUUUUUAUUCUUCUAAUAAUUUUUACACUUUAAUGCCCUAACUAUCCUACAGCACAUAAUUUUGUGCCUGACCUAACUUCUACGGUAAUCACUUCUACCGGUUAACCGACGGUCGAGCAAGGUUCUAGUUAGAGAUGUCCUGCGGCACAAGCCACCUCUGAGUCUAGAUGGAAUCUAUAGUUUGCAGCACCUGCGCAACAAAUGCUACACGCUUAUAGUCUUUGGGGUGGAGUCCUUCGUCCAGUUAGUACCGUCCUGCGUUACAAGCCGAUACUACUUCUGGUCGUCUGGUUAAUCUGAUUCCCAACGGAUGCAAAGUGGAAAAACCAACGACGAGAUCCGGUGUUCUGGGUCCAACAGUUGAACCAAGAAGCCCCGAUAAAAUCAAAAACCGACCCUUUCAUACUCCAAUCUAUGUAACUAACAAAAAGCUAUAUUCAUAUAUAAGUCUGGUGGACUAACUACCACCUAUAACUACCUACGUGAAUUCACUGCGAUCGCGUCGCUUAUGUACAUAAUCAAUUAAUUCGAUCGGUGAUACCGUUUUUUUCUGGCUGAUGCAAUAUGUCGAAAUAGCCAGCCGUGGGCAUUGCAAUAACUCUACUGGUCUACUGUCUGUACUAGCUAAGAUAUAGAUUUCUAUGGAAAAAUUAGGGCUGCUGCAUGUGCUUCUAAUUUGGAAGAUUACCAAUUGUCUUAGCGAAAAGACCUUUGACAAAAAGAUGAGAAAUUUCGGCCCUAAACAUCUACUCGAUUUGACUGUCCGAAAACUUCUGAGUAAAAAAAAAACAAUAUGAGAGACUAACCAGAGCAUCUGUAGUAGAUGUAUCUUCAAAAGGACCAUAGCGUCUAGCCAAUAGCAACCAAGUUAAAAACAGGUAGGAGCUUAAGAACAGGAAGAUCAUCAUGUUUUACUAUAAUUUUAUAGUUAACUAUCGUUAACUCGAUCGUUUCGGUAGCCAGGGAAUUGAUCGCAUUGGUAACAGAAAUCUCAACUUGGGCGGAUAGACUGCUAAAGACUGCAUGAGCUCCUCAUAGUUGUCAAAUUUACAAUACGAAUCUUUAAAUCUGAUCAUUUUUUUUCGAACGGAACUUAUCUCCUUGUUUCGUCUUAGCUCUCAUGAAAAGUAGCAAUAAGUCGUUUUUUGAUAAUACUAUCAUAACUUUCUGUUAUGAUUUUCUCUUUUAACUUUCUUUGGAGCUGUCUUGAUUUAUUUUUCUUUCACUUGUUUCGGGUUUGUAUAUUGAUUGUUUUUUUUCUAGAUUCUCAUGCAGUUUAGUGAUUGCGCCUAGAAUCACAAAUAUCUCUUCCGAAUUCAUACUACAAUAUCGUUGAAAUUGAUAUCCGGAAAAGUCGUCAUCAUAUGACCAAAGGUCGCAUCCUCUCCCCCACUACCUGAGCUGGUUCUUCCGGCGUUCUCCUUUCUAAAAAUAGACUCAAAUCUGGGUUUUAAUAUUUUUCCAAUAAUAACAGGAACGCAUAAAGUAACUUAGAUUCUAAUUCCUUAUUAAAUGUGUUGUCUUAAUUUUUUUUUCAUAUUAUCACGAUAUUCCUUGUGCUUUUCUUGUGCCCCUCUUUUAUUCCGGUGGUGUCAGGCUGACUAGCAAUAAUUCUAGUCAGUGACGAUAUCCUGCGCAAAUUUUUUUUCAAUUACUCUUACGAUUUUUUUAAAUCUUUUCGGAUAAUCCGCUGAGAAACAAGCAGGGCUUAAAGCGGAGUACGACUCCCGAUGUGUUCCUGGCGAGCUGGAUUCUUUGUACAAUGGCUGGUGACGUCCUUCUGGGAUUUCUUUCUAAACACUUGAUUAACUGAAACACUUUGCCUGUUGAAUCUAAGAGACAACUUUAUUUUCAAUUUUCUUAAAAUAUAUAUAUACACUGCUGACCCAUCGAACUUCGUCUCGCCCGUUUUUUUUGAAUUUGUAUUUCGGACAGUACAAUUGUCAAACGUCUUAUGCUGUUAAUGUAUCUUUCCAUUAUUUUACUGAUUACUUGGCUGCGGUGAAUUCAUAAAAAAAAUAUUGUGAAUAUGUUGAAAGCUUUUGUUACGCAAACAUUAAGCGAAAGCACCGAUCGCCAUAUCAUCUUUUGAGUCAGUGCAUCGAACAGCGAUUGUAGAUCUCUCUCAAACUAUUGGUUUCGACAUAUGGGAUAAAAAGUGAAGCAAAAAUAACAUUUACAAAAGCUGCCCUCGCGACUUGCAGUUUGUCACUUCUCGCUAGUCUGGUGACAUUAUUUAGUCGUGUUUGAUAAAUGUUCGUAGCGUGUUAAACACAGGAACAAUUUUCGAUUAACAAUUCAGCGAUAAAACUUUUUUUUUACUUUUAAUUUAUGGCUUCUGGUUAGUCAGUAAUUAUUUAGUAAAUUACUGAUAUAUCGGAGACUCGGAUGAUUCGCAUGGCUAAGUUUGACUCCUCUGGUAAAAGUUUAGAUGCGAGAAACCUUCUGCUUACUUAAAUGAACCUUGUUACGUCGAAUUUUUCCGCACUUUAUCUUCAAAUCCGUACUCUUCCUUGAGUACUAUGGCUCUACAUUUUUCAUAUUUUUUUACUCUCACAAUCUUUAGUUAGUUUGAUAUUGUUAAAAAAAGAUAAAAUGAGUAAUUCUUUGACAUUCGAUAGUUGAAGCACAUAUAACAGAUAUUUGCUAUACGUUGGAAACACUACUGCCACCUACUCCACUGUUCGCCGCGGUCUACGUUCCGGAACGAUAACAAAAUCCUUCUGCCUGUUAUAGAAAUAUUCCAACUAUCACAAUUUUAACACUUAUCACACGAUUUCCCUAAGUGUUAAAGACAACUUUAUUUCCAUGUCGCAUAAAUCACACGAGAAUUCGAUCGGAAUAAAACAAAAAUAAACUUAUCAUUUUAACCAACAGCAAAACAAAAAUCUAAGGUGAAGUGAAUGUUGCACCCAAAAUUGUGGCUCAGUGAAAGCGACACCUAAAUCGUGGUAGCACCUCGUAUCGAUUGUGGUGACAUCUGCAAAUGUUCGCCACACUGUUUGAGCAAAUUUUACACACAGCUCAUAUGUGAGCCUGUAUAUCUGUUUUCUGUGGGUCAAGUUACCAUUCUGUUAAAUAUUGUAUCCAUUAACUUUUACAUGAACACUGCAUUCGUUUAAUAGUUGUAUAUCAAUAGUCGUCUCAUUAGUCGACACCACAUAAUUUUGUUUAGUAACCCACCUACGAUUAACGAAUGGUGGAGUUCGGUACUGAGAAUCUAUAUCAGAAAGUUUUACAUGAAAAUAAUGUGCAAUUCUUCUGUUAUAGCGGAGUGAACAUGAGGAGUGAUUGUACCACAUAUACCCAUCUAUUUGGCCGCGCCGUUUCGAACCACAUUGAAUGAUUUAACCAGUUGAAGAUUGUCAUCGAUGAUAGGAGUUGCUUAGUUUAUAAGCGAUUGCUUGUAAUCUUGAUUAUCAGAUAAAAACUGUUUGUUUAUUUAUUUUCCACUAUAAUAAACAGUAACUAUGGUAAACUUGUUCUUACCCUUCAGUGUUGCUAGUGUUAUAGCAAACUCGUUAAAGUACAUUGUCACUCUGACAGUGUACCGCACGAUGCAAAAUGUGUCCUUGAAAAUUUGUCGAAGUAUUCCGCAUUAUAAUUUGUAUUUGUUCAUACUACAAUCAAAUACAAAUUAUAAUACGGAAUGCUUCGACGAAUUUUCAAGGACAUAUUUUGCAUCCUGCGGACACUGUCAUUAUACUCUGUCAGAAUGACAAUGUACUUUAACGAAUUUUCUAUAAAACUAGCAACGCUGAAGGGUAAGAACAAGUUCACCAUAGUUACUGGUUAUUAUAGUGAAAAAUAAAUAAACAAACAGUUUCUAUCCGACAAUCAAGAUUACAAGCGAAAUGUAAGUCAAACAAUAGUCUAGAAUGAUUAAGCCGCUAUGCAAAUUUUAGGUUGAAACGAACAGGUAAAUAUGUUUAACACUCUGCGUUCGCACAUUAGUUAUAGGAGAAGCCGCGUGGUUGAUCAUGAAUCAUUGUAACGGGCGUUUUUUUUUUGUUGUAUACCAUGCGUCUCCAUACAUAUAUAUAAAUAGAUCUCACACCUAGGUAAACGACUUCUACAGUUAGAACUGGAGUAAAAUGAAGAUAUACAAAAACGAGAACGUUUGUGUUCAUUUUUCAUCUUUUGUGCUAGUGCCGGCGAUAUUUAGACUGAUUUUUGCAGUUUAAUACAGCAACGAUAAACAUAAACAAACAAGUUUGUUUUGCACCGUAGCAACUAGCAUAAAGCGUUGCCAGAAACGAUCUCCUUCCACAUUUUCAAACUAUCGCAAUGUAAGGAAGAUAUUGGCUAGGCUUACUUGUUCAUGCUGUGAAACAAACAUUGGCGGUUCGUUUGUAUGAGACUUAGGGGUAUUAUUAUUUGUAUUUGCUACAAUAUCUAUAAAAUUGAUAUCCGGAAAAGUCGUCAUCAUAUGACCAAAGGUCGCAUGAGUGCGUAUAAACAAAUGUCAACGUUGUGAGCGUUGCUUUUUACACUUACCUAUUCAUCUUCGUUAUUGCUCUUCAUCCAGGUUUACUGUUCUAAGUUAUUUGCGGAGACCUGUGCUUCUUAUUUGGAAGAUUACCGAUUGUCUUAGCGAAAAGACCUUUGACAAAAAGAUGAGAAAUUUCGGCCCUAAACAUCUACUCGAUUUGACUGUCCGAAAACUUCUGAGUAAAAAAAACAAUAUGAGAGACUAACCAGAGCAUCUGUAGUAGAUGUAUCUUCAAAAGGACCAUAGCGUCUAGCCAAUAGCAACCAAGUUAAAAACAGGUAGGAGCUUAAGAACAGGAAGAUCAUCAUGUUUUACUAUAAUUUUAUAGUUAACUAUCGUUAACUCGAUCGUUUCGGUAGCCAGGGAAUUGAUCGCAUUGGUAACAGAAAUCUCAACUUGGGCGGAUAGACUGCUAAAGACUGCAUGAGCUCCUCAUAGUUGUCAAAUUUACAAUACGAAUCUUUAAAUCUGAUCAUUUUUUUUCGAACGGAACUUAUCUCCUUGUUUCGUCUUAGCUCUCAUGAAAAGUAGCAAUAAGUCGUUUUUUGAUAAUACUAUCAUAACUUUCUGUUAUGAUUUUCUCUUUUAACUUUCUUUGGAGCUGUCUUGAUUUAUUUUUCUUUCACUUGUUUCGGGUUUGUAUAUUGAUUGUUUUUUUUUCUAGAUUCUCAUGCAGUUUUGUGAUUGCGCCUAGAAUCACAAAUAUCUCUUCCGAAUUCAUACUACAAUAUCGUUGAAAUUGAUAUCCGGAAAAGUCGUCAUCAUAUGACCAAAGGUCGCAUCCUCUCCCCCACUACCUGAGCUGGUUCUUCCGGCGUUCUCCUUUCUAAAAAUAGACUCAAAUCUGGGUUUUAAUAUUUUUCCAAUGAUAACAGGAACCCAUAAAGUAACUUAGAUUCUAAUUCCUUAUUAAAUGUGUUGUCUUAAUUUUUUUUUUCAUAUUAUCACGAUAUUCCUUGUGCUUUUCUUGUGCCCCUCUUUUAUUCCGGUGGUGUCAGGCUGACUAGCAAUAAUUCUAGUCAGUGACGAUAUCCUGCGCAAAUUUUUUUUUAAUUACUCUUACGAUUUUUUGAAAUCUUUUCUGAUAAUCCGCUGAGAAACAAGCAGGGCUUAAAGCGGAGUACGACUUUAUGCUGACUACGGUUCUUCCGCGGACAGUACCUAAGGAAGGAGAAUAGAGUUUUAUUUAAUCGAUUAAUGAUACUUAGCCAAUUCUCUUGCUCGAGAAUUCGAGCUGGUGACGUCCUUCUGGGAUUUCCUUCUAAACACUUGAUUAACUGAAACACUCUGCCUGUUGAAUCAUAUGAAUAAAAUUUAUGAACAUUCACGGACAAAUAUCGGAUAAGACGUUCGUAAUCUUCCAAUCCAUCAACCAAGACUCGACAUUCUCCUCUUCGUCCGAUUUGAAAUGAGACUUUUACUUCCGGGAGAAAGCUCAAUCCGGAAUGCUUUGAAGUCGGAAAUCAUCACCGUCACUGGUAGCAUAGAUUGUUGUUUCUUCCCAGAACGACAAGCGUCCAUUUUGGGUAUUGUUAUAUGUUAUUAGAAAAAUGUUGAAUAACGGAUUGUGAUUUAUUCCGUAUUGAAUUAUUUUUAGUCUUAGGCUUGUUGCCUUUCCGGUUGGACGCAGACAUUUUUGAAAUGAAUGAAAUUUUAAAAUAAAUUAACUAGGCUAAACUAGUCUUCGAUUAGAUUCCUAGUUUGAAAAAGUCUUGAUAAAGACUGAUUUUGUGGUAGUCUUAAUGAAGACUGGUUAAUUUCUUAGUCACUCUAAUAUCACUCUUUGUAUCACUUAGUCACUCAAAUAUCACUCUUUGUAUCACUUAGUCACUCAAAUAUCACUCUUUGUAUAGCCUUGAGAAGGGCUGACUAAUUUUUAGUCUUUGAAAAGACUGUUAGUGAUUCAGGUAGCCUUGAAAAAGACUGAAACCUUGAAUCAAUGAAACUCUAGGUAACCAGAAAAAAUUUCCACGAGCCAAGAGCUAUACGCGUGCGGUGCGAACGACUGUUCAAUACCGACUGAUGCGGCAGAUUGCUGAUUUUGGCUACGAUACUUCCGGGAGUGGCCGUGCAUUUGCACCAUUCCUCGAUUAGUUGUAUCAGGUUAUUUACUGUAUCGACUGUUUCGGGGAUGCCUUGUCUUGUGCUUUUCCGGACAGUCUGUUUUUUAAAAAUUUAAUUGCCACGGCCAUGUGCUCUGGCACAAUUAACUCGUUCAGCAAUCUUGCUGUGUCGAUAAAUGUGUCUAGGCUCUCGGGAGUUCUAGUUUUUCUUGGAGUAAUUUCUCCGAUAAUUUUGUAUUAAUUGAUUUUUUUUAUGUAUGUAAGGAGUUUCUCUAGCUCCUUAUAGGUUUGCAUUUCAUGUUAAAUGACUAAUAAUUUUCUGUUUUCUUUUUAAAGGGACAGUAAUUUUUUCUUUCACAUUUAUACAUUUAGAUUCUCAAUUGGAUUUGAAUCCGGUGAGCAGGCUGGCCUUUUCUCGGACUUUAGCCACUUCAUUGUUUUUAUGAAUACUGGCGUUAUUUUUCUGGAAAAUAAGCUUUGAUUUGCGUUGUGCAUUUUGUUGUUCAUUUUGUGCGAUACAAAUCGAAGUUCCAGCCUGUCGGUUGCACAGGAACGCACCCCCAAACCAUUACAGACCCACCGCUAAAAUUUUUCUUUGACUAAUAUCGUGGUUCCUUACGUAGAUCACAACUCAACGUAGAAUUAGAAGAUUUAUUGACAAUUCGACGAGUAUCUCUCUCUCUCUCUGACACCUAAUUUUUUUAGCUGAGUCUCGGCAAAAAAAUGCCGAAAUUAAAGAAAGUUUGUCGGAAGGCUCGCAUUUGAUACCGAACACUGUAAAAACUAUGCAAAGAGUUUCAAAUGCUGACAGUAUUUCCGGUCCUAUGGGAAUUAUUACAUCUCUCCAAACUAAUGAGCAGUCUCCUUCGCCAAAUUCCUCAGACAUUUAAUGAUGCAUAUACGGUAUUGUUCAAAUAAACUUACUUUGAUCCAUUGAAUUAUUCCAUGCAUUGGGUUAUUUUUUCGCAUAUCCCUCAAAUUUUUGCCUCGAGGACGCUUUGAGCCCCGUGUUGGGUAUUUUUCCCUUAUAAUCACGAGUGCUCUGAUAAAGUCGUUUUUUUUAUAAAGCGAAACAUGUCACUAUAUUUGUUCAAUAUUUCUACUUGCAAGCGGUUCCACGCUUCUUCGAAGAUUAUCCAUUGUUUUACUAGAGAAUUUCAUCCGAAAAUAACCCCGCAAUGCGUAGCGAAAAUGUAACGCGGCGAUAAAUGACAGCUGUCGUGCUGAAUCUCGGCAACAGCAUUCCGAAAUCUCCAUUCAUAAUUUGAUGUCGAGCACGGUAACCAUUUACUUGAAAUUUUCUUUCACUGACCGGUAAACUUGGCGCAGACUCUAUGUCACGGUCGCCACGUAAACAUUUUAAACACUCUUUUUAGGUGGUAAUUCACUAAAAAAUUGCUUUAUUAUCAUCCACUUACAUAGUCUAUCCUCUCCUAGCCUAGCUUAUUAAUUCUAACAGUUAGGAUCUCUGAGUAGAUCCGGAAGAAGGAACCGGGUUUAACCAAUGGGACUCGUUGUGUCGGUGAUAUUCUUCUUUCCGCAGAUAUCCACUUAUAUUCUAUACACUCGUUCGCGGCCUCUGACACAACGCAUGCCACCGUCAUUCCGCACUCACUCACUGCUACACGCUCACCCAAUCAUACUCAAUGUGGAUAUCACAUAAUUCAGGAUACCACAGUGUCGUGUCGGCCGUUGUAUAUUUUGUGGGUAAGAGAGGAAGUAAAGUCGUUUGGGAGUUGAAUAGUUGAAGCUCCUUGAAGAGCAUGAGCGGGUGUGAUACGGAGAGGAGAGGGCGAUAGCAUGUUGGGCUAUUCUCGUGAGUGUCGGUUUGAAUUAGUGUGUGUGUGUAUUGCUGAGUUACUGUCAUUCUAGGUCGUGCUGACCGAUAUCGAUUGUGGUCGAUGGUGGGGCAUGAGGGACGUAUAGAAGAGGGAAGUGACACAGGCUGUUUUGUUUUUGGAUUCUGUUUUUUCGAAGACAUAACAAUUUGAAACUUGAUGCUUCCUUGUUUCAGUAGUCGAAUUUUACGACAACGGUGUUUUUCGCUGGGUCACCGGAAAGUGCGAGUGCUGACAUUUUAGUUGGCUUCAUGUAGGUAAUGUUUUUACUUUAUGUAGGUUUCUAAGUUCACGUGGAAGGGUGCUUUUUUGGGUUUUAUUUAAGUGCGUGUGGUCUAGGGUGUGCGGAAGAUUUAAUCUGAAAGGUUCACAUAACACUAUGCUUCUGUAGUGGAAAAUUAGUUGACCAGCUGAAAGCAGUCUUUUUAGCGCGAAGCACAACCUUAAAUCUUGAACAUAGGCUAGUUACGAGGUCUGUUCAAAAAGUACCCGGAAUUCUCAUUUUUUCUAAAAAAAUAUUUAUUUAUUCGUCUACAUCUAUAUGGUCCCCUUCAAAGUAAUCCCCCCUAGAUAUAAUACACUUAUGCCAGCGUUUUUUCCAGUCUUCGAAACACCCCUGAUAGUCACUUUUUGUAAUGCUCUGUAGCACUCUCAGCGAUUCUGCCUUUAUCUCUUCAAUCGAUGAAAAACGCUGUCCUUUCAUGGGUCUCUUCAACUUUGGGAACAGGAAAAAAUCACACGGAGCGAUAUCUGGUGAAUAAGGAGGUUAAGGCAUGAUUAAAGUCUUGUUUUUAGCCAAAAAAGCGUUUGUUUUUUUGACCAAAUUCAGCAGUUUUGGAACGAAUUUUGCUGCCACUCGUUUCAUGCCCAAAACAUUUGAAAAAAUAUGAUGGCAUGAGCCAACUGAUAUGCCAACUUCAUCAGCAACUUCUCUGAAUCGGCGAUCAUCCAUAAUCAUUUUUUCCACUUUCCCAUAUUUUCAUCGAUUAUUGACGUGCUGGGUCGACCGGAACGUUCGUCGUCUUAAACGUCUUCGCGGCCAUCUUGGAAACGCUUAUACCACUCGUAAACACUUGUUUUUUCAUAGCAAACUCACCGUAGGCUCUCUGUAACAUUUCGCACACUUGGUUACACUUUAUUUAAUUUUUCACGCAAAAUUUAAUACAAAUUCUUUGACUGACUUUCAUUGUUUAAACUAACAAAAAUCGCCGAGCUAAAAAAAAACACGUCUACACCAGCCGCUACAAGACAGAAUGUAAACAAUGAAUACAGCUGAAAAUUUCACCAUACAUUAGGGACAUAUGUACCAACACAAUAAAAAAAAUUUGACCUCCGGACUCUCCAGACGCGCGCAAUUAAAAAAUUCCGGGAACUUUUUGAACAGACCUCGUAUCUCUUCUGUGCGUAAACCUGUGCUUCUAAUUUAGAAGAUUACCGAUUGUCUUAGCGAGAAGAUCUUUGACAAAAAGAUGAGAGAUUUCGCCCCUAAACAUCUAGUCGAUUUGACUUUCCGAAAACUUCCGAGUAAAAAAAUCAAUAUGAGAGACUAACCAAAGCAUCUGUAGCAGAUGUAUCCUCAAAUGGACCAUAGCGUCUAGCCAAUAGCAACCAAGUUAAAAACAGGUAUUAGCUUAAGAACAGGAAGAUCAUUAUGUUUUACUACAAUUUUAUAGUUAACUAUCGUUAACUCGAUCGUUUCGGUAGCCAGGGAAUUGAUCGCAUUGUUAACAGAAAUCUCAACUUGAGCGGAUAGACUGCUAAAGACUGCAUAAGCUCCUCAUAGUUGUCAAAUUUACAAUACGAAUCUUUAAAUCUGUUCAUUCUUUUUCGAACGGAACUUAUCUGCUUGUUUCGUCUUAGCUCUCAUGAAAAGUAGCAAUAAGUCGUUUUUUGAUAAUACUAUCAUAACUUUCUGUUAUGAUUUUCUCUUUUAACUUUCUUUGGAGCUGUCUUGAUUUAUUUUUCUUUCACUUGUUUCGGGUUUGUAUAUUGAUUGUUUUUUUUUUCUAGAUUCUCAUGCAGUUUAGUGAUUGCGCCUAGAAUCACAAAUAUCUCUUCCGAAUUCAUACUACAAUAUCGUUGAAAUUGAUAUCCGGAAAAGUCGUCAUCAUAUGACCAAAGGUCGCAUCCUCUCCCCCACUACCUGAGCUGGUUCUUCCGGCGUUCUCCUUUCUAAAAAUAGACUCAAAUCUGGGUUUUAAUAUUUUUCCAAUAAUAACAGGAACCCAUAAAGUAACUUAGAUUCUAAUUCCUUAUUAAAUGUGUUGUCUUGAUUUUUUUUAAUAUUAUCACGAUAUUCCUUGUGCUUUUCUUGUGUCCCUCUUUUAUUCCGGUGGUGUCAGGCUGACUAGCAAUAAUUCUAGUCAGUGACGAUAUCCUGAGCAAAUUCCUUUUUAAUUACUCUUACGAUUUUUUGAAAUUUUUUCGGAUAAUGCGCUGAGAAACAAGCAGGGCAUAAAGCGAAGUACGACUCCCGAUGUGUUCCUGGCGAGCUGGAUUCUUUGUACAAUGGCUGGUGACGUCCUUCUGGGAUUUCUUUCUAAACACUUGAUUAACUGAAACACUUUGCCUGUUGAAUCUAAGAGACAACUUUAUUUUCAAUUUUCUUAAAAUAUAUAUAUACACUGCUGACCCAUCGAACUUCGUCUCGCCCGUUUUUUUUGAAUUUGUAUUUCGGACAGUACAAUUGUCAAACGUCUUAUGCUGUUAAUGUAUCUUUCCAUUAUUUUACUGAUUACUUGGCUGCGGUGAAUUCAUAAAAAAAAUAUUGUGAAUAUGUUGAAAGCUUUUGUUACGCAAACAUUAAGCGAAAGCACCGAUCGCCAUAUCAUCUUUUGAGUCAGUGCAUCGAACAGCGAUUGUAGAUCUCUCUCAAACUAUUGGUUUCGACAUAUGGGAUAAAAAGUGAAGCAAAAAUAACAUUUACAAAAGCUGCCCUCGCGACUUGCAGUUUGUCACUUCUCGCUAGUCUGGUGACAUUAUUUAGUCGUGUUUGAUAAAUGUUCGUAGCGUGUUAAACACAGGAACAAUUUUCGAUUAACAAUUCAGCGAUAAAACUUUUUUUUUACUUUUAAUUUAUGGCUUCUGGUUAGUCAGUAAUUAUUUAGUAAAUUACUGAUAUAUCGGAGACUCGGAUGAUUCGCAUGGCUAAGUUUGACUCCUCUGGUAAAAGUUUAGAUGCGAGAAACCUUCUGCUUACUUAAAUGAACCUUGUUACGUCGAAUUUUUCCGCACUUUAUCUUCAAAUCCGUACUCUUCCUUGAGUACUAUGGCUCUACAUUUUUCAUAUUUUUUUACUCUCACAAUCUUUAGUUAGUUUGAUAUUGUUAAAAAAAGAUAAAAUGAGUAAUUCUUUGACAUUCGAUAGUUGAAGCACAUAUAACAGAUAUUUGCUAUACGUUGGAAACACUACUGCCACCUACUCCACUGUUCGCCGCGGUCUACGUUCCGGAACGAUAACAAAAUCCUUCUGCCUGUUAUAGAAAUAUUCCAACUAUCACAAUUUUAACACUUAUCACACGAUUUCCCUAAGUGUUAAAGACAACUUUAUUUCCAUGUCGCAUAAAUCACACGAGAAUUCGAUCGGAAUAAAACAAAAAUAAACUUAUCAUUUUAACCAACAGCAAAACAAAAAUCUAAGGUGAAGUGAAUGUUGCACCCAAAAUUGUGGCUCAGUGAAAGCGACACCUAAAUCGUGGUAGCACCUCGUAUCGAUUGUGGUGACAUCUGCAAAUGUUCGCCACACUGUUUGAGCAAAUUUUACACACAGCUCAUAUGUGAGCCUGUAUAUCUGUUUUCUGUGGGUCAAGUUACCAUUCUGUUAAAUAUUGUAUCCAUUAACUUUUACAUGAACACUGCAUUCGUUUAAUAGUUGUAUAUCAAUAGUCGUCUCAUUAGUCGACACCACAUAAUUUUGUUUAGUAACCCACCUACGAUUAACGAAUGGUGGAGUUCGGUACUGAGAAUCUAUAUCAGAAAGUUUUACAUGAAAAUAAUGUGCAAUUCUUCUGUUAUAGCGGAGUGAACAUGAGGAGUGAUUGUACCACAUAUACCCAUCUAUUUGGCCGCGCCGUUUCGAACCACAUUGAAUGAUUUAACCAGUUGAAGAUUGUCAUCGAUGAUAGGAGUUGCUUAGUUUAUAAGCGAUUGCUUGUAAUCUUGAUUAUCAGAUAAAAACUGUUUGUUUAUUUAUUUUCCACUAUAAUAAACAGUAACUAUGGUAAACUUGUUCUUACCCUUCAGUGUUGCUAGUGUUAUAGCAAACUCGUUAAAGUACAUUGUCACUCUGACAGUGUACCGCACGAUGCAAAAUGUGUCCUUGAAAAUUUGUCGAAGUAUUCCGCAUUAUAAUUUGUAUUUGUUCAUACUACAAUCAAAUACAAAUUAUAAUACGGAAUGCUUCGACGAAUUUUCAAGGACAUAUUUUGCAUCCUGCGGACACUGUCAUUAUACUCUGUCAGAAUGACAAUGUACUUUAACGAAUUUUCUAUAAAACUAGCAACGCUGAAGGGUAAGAACAAGUUCACCAUAGUUACUGGUUAUUAUAGUGAAAAAUAAAUAAACAAACAGUUUCUAUCUGACAAUCAAGAUUACAAGCGAAAUGUAAGUCAAACAAUAGUCUAGAAUGAUUAAGCCGCUAUGCAAAUUUUAGGUUGAAACGAACAGGUAAAUAUGUUUAACACUCUGCGUUCGCACAUUAGUUAUAGGAGAAGCCGCGUGGUUGAUCAUGAAUCAUUGUAACGGGCGUUUUUUUUUUUUUGUAUACCAUGCGUCUCCAUACAUAUAUAUAAAUAGAUCUCACACCUAGGUAAACGACUUCUACAGUUAGAACUGGAGUAAAAUGAAGAUAUACAAAAACGAGAACGUUUGUGUUCAUUUUUCAUCUUUUGUGCUAGUGCCGGCGAUAUUUAGACUGAUUUUUGCAGUUUAAUACAGCAACGAUAAACAUAAACAAACAAGUUUGUUUUGCACCGUAGCAACUAGCAUAAAGCGUUGCCAGAAACGAUCUCCUUCCACAUUUUCAAACUAUCGCAAUGUAAGGAAGAUAUUGGCUAGGCUUACUUGUUCAUGCUGUGAAACAAACAUUGGCGGUUCGUUUGUAUGAGACUUAGGGGUAUUAUUAUUUGUAUUUGCUACAAUAUCUAUAAAAUUGAUAUCCGGAAAAGUCGUCAUCAUAUGACCAAAGGUCGCAUGAGUGCGUAUAAACAAAUGUCAACGUUGUGAGCGUUGCUUUUUACACUUACCUAUUCAUCUUCGUUAUUGCUCUUCAUCCAGGUUUACUGUUCUAAGUUAUUUGCGGAGACCUGUGCUUCUUAUUUGGAAGAUUACCGAUUGUCUUAGCGAAAAGACCUUUGACAAAAAGAUGAGAAAUUUCGGCCCUAAACAUCUACUCGAUUUGACUGUCCGAAAACUUCUGAGUAAAAAAAACAAUAUGAGAGACUAACCAGAGCAUCUGUAGUAGAUGUAUCUUCAAAAGGACCAUAGCGUCUAGCCAAUAGCAACCAAGUUAAAAACAGGUAGGAGCUUAAGAACAGGAAGAUCAUCAUGUUUUACUAUAAUUUUAUAGUUAACUAUCGUUAACUCGAUCGUUUCGGUAGCCAGGGAAUUGAUCGCAUUGGUAACAGAAAUCUCAACUUGGGCGGAUAGACUGCUAAAGACUGCAUGAGCUCCUCAUAGUUGUCAAAUUUACAAUACGAAUCUUUAAAUCUGAUCAUUUUUUUUCGAACGGAACUUAUCUCCUUGUUUCGUCUUAGCUCUCAUGAAAAGUAGCAAUAAGUCGUUUUUUGAUAAUACUAUCAUAACUUUCUGUUAUGAUUUUCUCUUUUAACUUUCUUUGGAGCUGUCUUGAUUUAUUUUUCUUUCACUUGUUUCGGGUUUGUAUAUUGAUUGUUUUUUUUUUCUAGAUUCUCAUGCAGUUUAGUGAUUGCGCCUAGAAUCACAAAUAUCUCUUCCGAAUUCAUACUACAAUAUCGUUGAAAUUGAUAUCCGGAAAAGUCGUCAUCAUAUGACCAAAGGUCGCAUGAGUGUUGCUUUUUACCCUUAUCUACUUAUUUAUGUUAUCUCGACUGAAUUGCAAUGCAAUAUUACUGGAAUCGCUUCUAAACUGAUUGGUUGUCUAGUGUACGCACCCGAGCGGCGAGAGGGGUAUGUCUUUUAACGCACGAAAUGUCAUCUAAUUAACGAGACGUAUACGUCCCGAGUCCAGCGGCUACCGCGGUGUAUAAAGCGUAUAGUCUUUCCAGCGGCACACCCACGCUACCAGUUCGAGCAGGAGUUCCAUUCGUGUGCAGCCAGUACCUCCGAUGAGGUAUUGGCCGAAUAACAGAUGAAGGAAGGGCGUGCUAGCGAUAAACGAGGACGCCGCGGUCCCCGGGUAACAGUCGAUCCAUCGACGUAGAUGAGCCAGCUAGUUAAAUACAAAAAAAAAUAUAAUAAUAAUAUUAUUACUAAAAUUUUUCUCAUCUAAAUUACUACUUGCUUUUAGGCACCAGUCAGAAAUGGCGUGGGUUCGUAUCCCACACCUGUCACCACAAAUGUACGCACCCGAGCGGCGAGAGGGGUAUUUCUUUCAACGCAAGAAAUGUCAUCUAAUUAACGGGACGUUUUCUUUUAAUCUGUAAACUUCACUUAUAUUUACUUCUAUUUUUGCAUUUCUUGUCCACUACAUACAAAACUUUCCCUGAGGCACAUAAAUUUUUUGCCUGACCUAACUUCUAUACUAAACUUUGCUUUUUUCCUUAAUUACUGCUUUAGCACGAGUAAUGGUGUCUAAGUUUGAUUACGGUCACCCAUGGAGCAUUACUCUCAACAGUUGAAUUAAGAAGCCUCGAUAAAAUCAAAAACCGCCCUUUUUAUACUCAAAAUAUAAGUACCUAACCAAAAGUUAUAUUUAUAGCUAUAGCUAUAUUCCAGCUUUACAUAUAUCUGGGAUUCACUGCUAACUCUUAACUGCGAAAUGUUCUUUUCCGGCGUAUUUAUGUAUUCUACCGAAAAAACCUGAUAUGAGAGUGUCUGCGUAGUCAAGAUCAAGGUCGGGAACGUGAACGUGCCAUUUUCGGCCGUUUGGAUCACGGACAGGGCCGAUGGUGGAUAGAUAUAUAGCGAUCGAAUUUGGUAUUGACACAUCAGAUGGUAUAAGAGAUUUGAUGUCAAUAUAUUCAGAUGCUGGUAUAUCUUGCUGUUCACUUUUGACAAAAAUGAGACGUUGCCACAACAGGAUUGUGCAGUAGUAGGUCCACAUUGAUGACGAUACUGAUCGAGACCAGUAUCGGUCGUUUGCCAUGAAAUCGCGAUAGGUAGCAUCGACGAUGUCAUAGUAUCCGGUGAAGUUCAGUUGUAGUUCUGGGAUUUUCUUUCGAAACCCCAAAACUGCUAAAUCGAGUACUGAGAAAGCAUCGAUAACGCAAGGAUCAUUCUUCGGUGUUGUGAAUGUUGUUGAAAGGUGUUUCGGAGAGAGGUCGUGACCAUGCGGUCAUUAUUUAAACACGCCGUAAACGAAUAAAAACUAUACUAUAUUCGACGCAUAAUAACAGGGAUAAAAGACUGACUGUCCAGUCUGUAUAACGCCGGAAACACAAGUGGCAUCAGUUACUAUCAUCGCGGGAAAAUGUCAGUGACGAGCCCAGUGUUGCCAUUCGUUGAGUACGAUCAUGUUGCCAGAGGAUUAUUCCAUUUGCCCCAACAGUAUCUUAUUCAAGAGAUACGUUUUUCCUCCCUAACCCUUUAUUCGGAUGGAAAUUUCUUCGCUGCUCUUCUCCACCUGCUCUUGGCCAUUGGCCCAAGAUAAUGUUAACGGUUUCCUUUUUCCGUUUAUUUCAAGUUGUCUGGCAACUUCUUCUUGGAUUAAUGUUGUCGACGAACCUGGAUCUAGAAACGCUAGAACCUCAAUCUGCUUAUCCUUAUUCUUCAAUGGUACUGGAACAAUCUGGUAAAAAAAACUUUCCUUUCUUUUCAUGACAAUUAAUUUUUUCAACUUCCUUUUCGUUUUUAUCAGAACUCGAAUUCGACCUUUCUGAAUUUUGAUGUAGCAGCGUAUGGUGUUUGCGUGCGCAUCCUUUCACGCUGCAUUUUAAUUUCGAAAAACACGUUUUAGUUUGAUGAUUCGCAAAGUUGCAACAGUUGAAACAUGCCUUAUUCUUAACGAGUAUUGUUGGGGAAGCGAAAGCCUAUUCGCGCACCCCUGGUAGCGAUGAAAACGUUCCUGCUAAAAUCAGUAAUACCAACGACUCACCGACUGUACUUCAGUGACAGUUAUUACCUCGUUGAAGUACAGUACGCUAAGACACGAGUAACGUAUUAAAACACACUGUUUCGAAUUGAUAACAAGAAUUCUGCUUUAUUUCGAUAUGUCUUAACUUAUAUACUAGACUUUAUUCUAGAUUCAAGAGUCUUUAAUGUUCUUCUAUAUUCUGCGAAGGAUUCCUGCAGUUGUAUUCUUUUUGUUUCUAUAUUAUUUAGUGAUCUAGGUCUAUAUUGACUUUUUACUAAAUUUUUAUUUUCCUUCUUUAAAUAAGACUGGAUUU
Molecule: long non-coding RNA, 24883 nt
Organism: Malaya genurostris
Lineage: Eukaryota; Metazoa; Arthropoda; Insecta; Diptera; Culicidae
Exons: 4
Source: RefSeq, a predicted model, not a curated record